Long non-coding RNA from Limulus polyphemus (Atlantic horseshoe crab), 222 nucleotides. RefSeq lists it as uncharacterized. Lineage: Eukaryota; Metazoa; Arthropoda; Merostomata; Xiphosura; Limulidae. The transcript has 3 exons. The record is from RefSeq and is a predicted model, not a curated record.
CUCUAGAUCUGUCUGAGUUUCCAUCUCUGACCAACAGAGGACCUCAAGAAUCAAACACCUCCAGUUUAGCUCCUAGCAUCAUCCAAGGUAGACCACCUUAUGUUGGAAUGGUCAAACAACCACCAAAUGAGUCCAGUGAAUUUCACAUACAUAAUGAAGAUUUUCCUGCUUUACCUGGGUCUCAAAGUCAAGAAAGUAAUCCAAGAUGAUGUUAAUAAAGUG